CGGCCCAGACUCCUACGGGAGGCAGCAGUAAGGAAUCUUCCACAAUGGACGAAAGUCUGAUGGAGCAACGCCGCGUGAACGAUGAAGGCUUUCGGGUCGUAAAGUUCUGUUGUAAGGGAAGAACAAGUGCCGCAGGCAAUGGCGGCACCUUGACGGUACCUUGCGAGAAAGCCACGGCUAACUACGUGCCAGCAGCCGCGGUAAUACGUAGGUGGCAAGCGUUGUCCGGAAUUAUUGGGCGNNNNNCGCGCGCAGGCGGCCUCUUAAGUCUGAUGUGAAAGCCCCCGGCUCAACCGGGGAGGGCCAUUGGAAACUGGGAGGCUUGAGUAUAGGAGAGAAGAGUGGAAUUCCACGUGUAGCGGUGAAAUGCGUAGAGAUGUGGAGGAACACCAGUGGCGAAGGCGACUCUUUGGCCUAUAACUGACGCUGAGGCGCGAAAGCGUGGGGAGCAAACAGGAUUAGAUACCCUGGUAGU
RNAcentral lists this ribosomal RNA (475 nucleotides) under Exiguobacterium profundum. RNAcentral's name for it is "bacterial SSU rRNA". It matches the Rfam family "Bacterial small subunit ribosomal RNA", at positions 327 to 794 of the family's 1533-position model. The record is from RNAcentral. Lineage: Bacteria; Bacillati; Bacillota; Bacilli; Caryophanales.